CUACGGGCGGCAGCAGUGGGGAAUAUUGCACAAUGUGCGCAAGCCUUAUGCAUCCAUGCCGCGUGUAUGAAGAAGGCCUUCGGGUUGUAAAGUACUUUCAGCGGGGAGGAAGGGAGUAAAGUUAAUACCUUUGCUCAUUGACGUUACCCGCAGAAGAAGCACCGGCUAACUCCGUGCCAGCAGCCGCGGUAAUACGGAGGGUGCAAGCGUUAAUCGGAAUUACUGUGGCGUAAAGCGCACGCAGGCGGUUUGUUAAGUCAGAUGUGAAAUUCCCGGGCUCAACCUGGGAACUGCAUCUGAUACUGGCAAGCUUGAGUCUCGUAGAGGGGGGUAGAAUUCCAGGUGUAGCGGUGAAAUGCGUAGAGAUCUGGAGGAAUACCGGUGGCGAAGGCGGCCCCCUGGACGAAGACUGACGCUCAGGUGCGAAAGCGUGGGGAGCAAACAGGAUUAGAUACCCUCGUAGUC
This 465-nucleotide ribosomal RNA is filed under the name uncultured bacterium. Its description in RNAcentral is "partial 16S ribosomal RNA". It matches the Rfam family "Bacterial small subunit ribosomal RNA", at positions 339 to 795 of the family's 1533-position model. The record is from RNAcentral.